AGGCUGCAAUAUGCUCCUUAGGAUAUGGAAACAAAGCGUACAAGGAGUUGUCGUGGUUAACGGGCAUGCUGCUUAGAUCUCGAGUAAUUUCUUUUGUAAUGCCAACAUGUCUUUAGAUCACAGGUCUCGUUACGGCUGAUGCAUUGCCUAGUUCUUCACGUUGCAGGUUGGGUUUUACAGUUAGGCCUGCUAAUUUUAUCGAUCCUGCUGUCUUGCUGAAGAUUUCCUCACCCAUUGGCUUGUAUAUCAGGUCCUGCAGCAGGUUGUAUACAUGUCGGCAAUGCGAUUAGAGAGUGAUUUGCAAACCCGGAGAUGGCUCAAAUAUCGGCUUUGCUUUAUUUCCUCUUGUGCAGCAGGCACAAUACUGAAGAUGACGAUGUAUCGAUUUAAAUGCCGUGAAUUGCUGCUGAUUCAUGUUUCUGUUGUUUCCGUCAUUGCUAUUUUGGUCACAGCUUUGGAGCUUUGGGGAAUCAUAUGGGGGACACCGUUGAAACUCUUUAUUCGAUUUACAAAUGCCUUUAUCUUCGAGUUGCAUUGGCUACCAUUUGGCGUCAUUGUGAUGUCUUCAUUUGCAGCCAACUCAAUGUUGCGGCUUUGCUUGGAACACUACCGUUAGCAAUUCUGGUUUACUAUACCGUUAUGCUAUUUGCUUGGCCACUCUGCGGUUUUGGAAUGUUGCUGUGUUUGUAUGAACAUGCUGUAUUGUAUGAACAUGUGAUAUUAUUAGCUAUUGUGUUAGCAUUUGAAUGAAAUUUUGUCAUGGUAACAAUUA
Molecule: long non-coding RNA, 772 nt
Organism: Lathyrus oleraceus (garden pea)
Lineage: Eukaryota; Viridiplantae; Streptophyta; Magnoliopsida; Fabales; Fabaceae
Exons: 3
Source: RefSeq, a predicted model, not a curated record